Molecule: ribosomal RNA, 500 nt
Filed under: uncultured bacterium
Lineage: Bacteria
Description: bacterial SSU rRNA
Rfam family: Bacterial small subunit ribosomal RNA
Source: RNAcentral
AGAGUUUGAUCAUGGCUCAGAUUGAACGCUGGCGGCAUGCCUUACACAUGCAAGUCGAACGGUAACGGGCCUUCGGGUGCCGACGAGUGGCGAACGGUGAGUAAUGCAUCGGAACGUACCUUCAGUGGGGAUAACGUAGCGAAAGUUACGCUAAUACCGCAUAUUCUGUGAGCAGGAAAGCAGGGGAUCGCAAGACCUUGCGCUGAUUGAGCGGCCGAUGUCAGAUUAGCUAGUUGGUGAGGUAAAGGCUCACCAAGGCGACGAUCUGUAGCGGGGUCUGAGAGGAUGAUCCGCCACACUGGAACUGAGACACGGUCCAGACUCCUACGGGAGGCAGCAGUGGGGAAUUUUGGACAAUGGGGGCAACCCUGAUCCAGCCAUGCCGCGUGAGUGAAGAAGGCCUUCGGGUUGUAAAGCUCUUUCGGCCGGGAAGAAAUCGUAUGGGCUAAUACCCUGUGCGGAUGACGGUACCGGCAUAAGAAGCACCGGCUAACUACGUG